Molecule: ribosomal RNA, 431 nt
Filed under: uncultured bacterium
Lineage: Bacteria
Description: partial 16S ribosomal RNA
Rfam family: Bacterial small subunit ribosomal RNA
Source: RNAcentral
AACGAACGCUGGCGGCAGGCUUAACACAUGCAAGUCGAGCGCCCCGCAAGGGGAGCGGCAGACGGGUGAGUAACGCGUGGGAACGUACCUUUUGGUUCGGAACAACUCCGGGAAACUGGAGCUAAUACCGGAUAAGCCCUAACGGGGAAAGAUUUAUCGCCGAAAGAUCGGCCCGCGUCUGAUUAGCUAGUUGGCGAGGUAACGGCUCACCAAGGCGACGAACAGUAGCUGGUCUGAGAGGAUGAUCAGCCACACUGGGACUGAGACACGGCCCAGACUCCUACGGGAGGCAGCAGUGGGGAAUAUGGGACAAUGGGCGCAAGCCUGAUCCAGCCAUGCCGCGUGAGUGAUGAAGGGCUUAGGGUUGUAAAGCUCUUUUGUCCGGGAAGAUAAUGACUGUACCGGAAGAAUAAGCCCCGGCUAACUUCGUG